AUCCAAAUUUCAAUGCACUUUUCAUAAUUAAACAAAUUAAGCCUUAAAACCGAGCGACGUAAUAGAAAGGCAAUGGGGCGUCUCACCCAUGGACGAUGUCUCCGAGGAGGUCUAAGAAUGGGAUUAAAAAAAAAAAAAGGCUGGAAUAAACCAAGAUCUACUCCUUUUUCUCUAAUUCUAGACUCUAGUAGUUUGGAUCAGUUUCAUUGUUAAAUCUAAAGAAAUUUGGAGCAUUGCUAAGUAACAUCAGAGGAAGAAAAAUCACAAGAGAUUGAUUUCCCUCCUACUACCUAACUACAGUAACCACUUAUGAAUACACAGACUCCCGGGCAUAAUCACAUUACCUCUGUAAAGUCUCACCCUAAAACUAUUUUUGGAAACUAGGGAUAUUCCAGAUUAAUGAAAUCUGUGCCGUAGUCGCUGGCUCAGGCCUGAGUUUUGCAAGGGAAGCUGCUAAAGCAGCCGCCCUCCCAGUCAUUACGAAGCUUUCGCCCUACUUCGAUACCCCUGGGAACCACAUGCUCAUCGAAGAGCUUUUUUUGGGAACCAAUGUUGUUCACAUUCCCGUUUCCUAAAAAUACUGAAAAGCAGUCCUCUCCGGAUUCCUUGCGGGUCACUUUAAGUUACAAGUUCAUGGGUACACGACCUGAGAGAACCAUUUCCACCCGCCAAUGCGGGCGAAGGUAAGCCAGACGCUUCCCUUUGUAUACUCUCAACCUGCGCCACCCAGAUGCGGAAAGUUAGAAUACGAGAGACCGGGACAAAGAGACGCACGUUCUAGACAAAUUAUCAAAGACGCACCGAGGUUAUUGUAAAUCUUGCCGACUAGAAAUUGGGGGUAAAGCUUUUAAAGCUCUCUUAUUGUGGUUAAAAAUAUUAGAAACGAGGCGGCUUCGACUUGUUUUAGCUAAACAGACCACUGAGGGGGGGGCCCCAGCGGAGAAGUCGCGCGGUCACGAGGGUCCCACCCAGCGGCCGCCGCACCCGGGCGGGCGCGAGCGCCGACGAGGCCUGAAGGGACUCGUUGGAGCGCGCCGGCCGGGCGUGGUGACGUCAGGGCGGAAGCGCACGCUGCGUGAAGCGGCCCAGAACCCGGCGGUCACGGGAAUAUCCGUCGCGCCGAGGACGCUGGUUAGUCUCAGUUCGGGUUCCGGCUGCGUUAGGCGUGCGUGCAGCUCGCUGACUAUGGCGUCCGGGCCUCACCCGACCGCGACCGCUGCCGCCGCCGCCUCGUCGGCCGCCCCUAGCGCAGGCGGCUCCAGCUCCGGGACGACGACCACGACGACGACCACGACGGGAGGAAUCCUGAUCGGCGACCGCCUCUACUCGGAAGUUUCGCUCACCAUCGACCACUCUCUGAUUCCGGAGGAGCGGCUCUCGCCCACUCCGUCCAUGCAGGACGGGCUCGACCUGCCCAGCGAGACGGACUUGCGCAUCCUGGGCUGCGAGCUCAUCCAGGCCGCCGGCAUUCUCCUCCGGCUACCGCAGGUGGCGAUGGCAACGGGGCAGGUGUUGUUUCAUCGUUUUUUCUACUCCAAAUCUUUCGUCAAACACAGUUUCGAGAUUGUUGCCAUGGCUUGUAUUAAUCUUGCAUCAAAAAUCGAAGAAGCGCCUAGAAGAAUAAGAGAUGUGAUUAAUGUAUUUCACCAUCUACGCCAGUUAAGAGGAAAAAGGACUCCAAGCCCCCUGAUCCUUGAUCAGAACUACAUUAACACCAAAAAUCAAGUUAUCAAGGCAGAGAGGAGGGUGCUAAAGGAGUUGGGAUUUUGUGUUCAUGUCAAGCAUCCCCAUAAGAUCAUUGUUAUGUAUUUACAAGUCUUAGAAUGUGAACGUAAUCAAACCCUGGUUCAAACUGCCUGGGUAGUCCAUGAUGGUAAGUCAUAGAACUCUGCCCUCUGCACUUCAGCCCAUGACCUCAGGAUGGCCUGAUUGGCUGCCCUGCUCUCCAGCCAAUCCAGUGCAAGCUCUCAUCCGAGAUUCACUGAAGUGGUCCAUAUCCAUCUGGCAGCAUCUUCUAGUUCUGUCGGGGUGUCAAAAGGAUUUGUAUAUUUGCUUCUAGAAGUAACUAUUCAACAUGCCUGUGUAUUUAAUGUAUACCUGUAACUAUCAAAAUGAAUAGUUCAUUUUUGAUAGAUUUGUUGUCCAGCCAUUAUGAAUUAAAUGAUUUUUGUUAGGAGUUUGACUAGAUUUCUAUUUUUAGUAUGUAUAGCAUGAAUUCUGCCAAAGAAAACAGCAGCUUAAAAUGGGCGCCAGGCCCAUACUUGAUGAAUUUAUAGCUGCUCCGCUAAUUGAGAAGAAAGAAGUACUUUGUUUUUAAAAGAUGUUCAUAUUAACAUAAGCACUUUAGAACUUAGACUUUGGAGGUACAAAUGUGUGAUUUGGAGUGCUGACUUAUUUAAAGGUAAAACGAGUUGUGGUCCAGCCACAGCUUCUGUCAUAGACUGUUGAUGUGCAGUACUGAAGUGAUACAAUUCUUACAUCCUGGACUUAGGACUGCCAUGCCGCUUUAGGGUCUCAGUAAAUGUUAGUGAUAUAUAGAUAUAUAGACUACUUUAUAAAAUGCAUGAAACUUUAUAUAUGUUCCAUAAAACAGAUUUUUAGCAGUUUUCAUGGGUAAGGACUUUUGAAAAAUAGUCUUUUAUCUUCAGUUUAACCUUUUAAACAAGUAAAAUUUCUUCAAUACUUUAGGGAUAUUGUGGGGAGGAUUCACUAAUACAAGUCCAGCAACUUAUUAACUGAAACAGUUACUGCUUUUAUUUAUACUUAGUCACAAAAAGGUACGUAAACAAGGCUGUUGUAUGUUUAUUGCUCUUCACUUCCCAACCUAGGUUUUCUGAAGUAGCUUAGUUUUCUUAAUAUAAUUUGGUGACUGCUUAUUGGAAAAUGCCUUUUUACCCCUCUCACAGUGUUGAGUUUUUGAAGAACUUGAUUGACACUGCUUUUCAUUAUGGAUAAAGGAGAGAUGGUCAAUAAUUAAUGGCUUGAAGUAUCAUGGGAGUGGUACAUCAUUUCUGAAACUAAUCAUGUCAGAACUUUCAGAACAUUGCUUUUCAUAGAAAUGUUUUUAAAAACCUUUACGUUCUGCUUGGAAGAAUAAUACGGAAUUAUUUUAAAGGACUUUGGUCAUAUAAGAAAGCUGACGGAAUGAUUCUGGUGUUAAAUUCUUAUCUCUUACUGAUUUCUGAGUUAAGAAUUGUUAUAUGCUAGAAUAUGAAGAUAUAAAUAUGAGAAGAAAAAAGAAUAAAGUAGAUUGAGUCUCCAAUUUUAUGUAAGCAUCAGAACUGGUUUGUUUGCAUACAAAGCUUAUGGUUGAAAUAUUUUUCAGGAAUUAUAUGAAUGACAGUCUUCGAACCAAUGUAUUUGUUCGAUUUCAACCAGAGACUAUAGCGUGUGCUUGCAUCUACCUUGCAGCUAGAGCUCUUCAGAUUCCAUUGCCAACUCGUCCCCAUUGGUUUCUUCUCUUUGGUACUACAGA
Molecule: RNA transcript, 3475 nt
Organism: Camelus dromedarius (Arabian camel)
Lineage: Eukaryota; Metazoa; Chordata; Mammalia; Artiodactyla; Camelidae
Gene: CCNL1
Gene name: cyclin L1
Exons: 7
Source: RefSeq, a predicted model, not a curated record